RNAcentral lists this ribosomal RNA (493 nucleotides) under uncultured bacterium. RNAcentral's name for it is "bacterial SSU rRNA". It matches the Rfam family "Bacterial small subunit ribosomal RNA", at positions 52 to 518 of the family's 1533-position model. The record is from RNAcentral.
UACAUGCAAGUCGAACGGUCUUUCUAUGGAAGCUUGCUCCACUGAGAAGAUAGUGGCGAACGGGUGAGUAACACGUGGGUAACCUGCCCAUAAGAGGGGGGAUAACAUCCGGAAACGGGUGCUAAUACCGCAUAGUUUCUUGAUCGCAUGAUCGGGAAAGGAAAGACGGCCUUUGUGCUGUCGCUUAUGGAUGGACCCGCGGCGUAUUAGUUAGUUGGUGAGGUAACGGCUCACCAAGACGAUGAUACGUAGCCGACCUGAGAGGGUGAUCGGCCACAUUGGGACUGAGACACGGCCCAAACUCCUACGGGAGGCAGCAGUAGGGAAUCUUCCGCAAUGGACGAAAGUCUGACGGAGCAACGCCGCGUGAGUGAAGAAAAGGUUUUCGGAUCGUAAAACUCUGUUGUCAGAGAAGAACAAGUUGGAGAGUAACUGCUCCAGCCUUGACGGUAUCUGACCAGAAAGCCACGGCUAACUACGUGCCAGCCGCCGC